This 63-nucleotide small RNA is filed under the name Salix viminalis (osier). Lineage: Eukaryota; Viridiplantae; Streptophyta; Magnoliopsida; Malpighiales; Salicaceae. The record is from RNAcentral.
AGGAGCCGUAUGAGGUGAAAAUCUCAUGUAAUAUUCUGUAGGAGUGACAAUUUUAUAUCUUAU